CCUACGGGAGGCAGCAGUGGGGAAUUUUGCGCAAUGCUCGUAAGAGUGACGCAGCGACGCCGCGUGAGUGAAGAAUGCCUUCGGGGCGUAAAGUUCUUUCGACGGGGGGGAAAAUGCCUCUAAGUGACGAUGUUUGUAUUUACGGUACCUGUAUAGACAGCCCCGUCUAACUCCGUGACAGCCGCCGCGGUAAUACGGAGGGGGCGAGCGCUGUUCGGAGGGACUGGGCGUAAAGAGCACGUAGGCGGGGUUGUAAGUCAUUAGUCAAAGACUAGAGCUCAACCUUAGUAAGGCUAGUGAUACUAUAAUACUAGAGUAUGAGAGAGGAUGGCAGAAUUCGUGGUGUAGCGGUGAGAUGCGUAGAUAUCAGGAGGAAUACCGUUAGCGAAGGCGGCAAGCUGGAUGGAAACUGACGCUGAGGUGCGAAAGCGUGGGUAGCAAACAGGAUUAGAUACCCCAGUAGUC
Molecule: ribosomal RNA, 465 nt
Filed under: uncultured bacterium
Lineage: Bacteria
Description: partial 16S ribosomal RNA
Rfam family: Bacterial small subunit ribosomal RNA
Source: RNAcentral